Long non-coding RNA from Branchiostoma floridae (Florida lancelet), 1637 nucleotides. RefSeq lists it as uncharacterized. The record is from RefSeq and is a predicted model, not a curated record. Lineage: Eukaryota; Metazoa; Chordata; Leptocardii; Amphioxiformes; Branchiostomatidae. The transcript has 3 exons.
UAUGUGAUGUAUCCUCUUGUCGUAAUUUUGCGAGGAAGAGUUCCACAUAUUCUAUUGUGUAUGUCGCUGUGGUACGUUCACACAGGAGUCGUUACGAUAAACCUGAGCAGACAGCUGCGUCUGUUCUCCACAAAACUUUGACUUGGAUAGGUCAGGGGCCUGUGGAGGGACAAAUAGAGAUUUUGCCGAGCGGCCGUCCAGACCAAUUGCCCUCCCCACUGCGCCUCCUCUCACCCCUGUCAGCGGAGAGCGCCACGGCAGCGGGACCCGGGGGUGAUGGCACGUGAUCCGUGUGCUUAUUUUACCGCUGCAGGUUGGAUCAUUAUCGGCAGCAAACUGACAGGGUGAGCCCCUGUGGGCGACAGAUUGGAGAAGCUGCCGGAGAAACGUCCGCAUCUUCGCCGAGCUUGAUUUCCUUAGUGUCAGUCUCGUCGCGACCGGUGGCGGCUUUAAGGAGAGCUAUGGGACGGGGGAAUCUUCGGAUUUGUAGUGGCUAUGAUUGCAUUUUCUCCUAGGUGAGGGAUAAUCCAGGUACCCAGUGCCUAGAGACGCCGGUGAUAAGACAGACACAUUCUCCAGAUAGAUAUCAGUGAUGUCAGCGCCCAGGUGGCUAGAUAAACAACCCGCACACAACACGUUCUACCGAGCUGUAUCCGGAGGAAUAAUGCUUUCGUCGCCAUAUCCCUUACACCACAACACCGACCUCACGGAACUUCUAUACAAGACUGGGAAACAAAGAACAAAACAUGUACAUGGCGAGAGUGCUGUUGUUAGCAUUUCUCUCUUGGAGAGAUUCUGACAAAGUUCUAUCCUUUUUUUGUCUUUUUGGAGCGUUUUGUCAAAAUGGGAAGUUUAGGAACUUCUGAUAUAUUGUAUUCAGCAGUUGUAGGAGAAACUUGAUGCCCUAUUCACGUAGCUUAAGUGGUUUGUGAUGAGUACUAUUAUGGACCGCUUUAUUCCCGUCCAGCCUUAAUGUUUAUUUGUACACGGGCAUAUCAAUAACUGAUUACCUCUCUUUGAUAGGUGUACAGUUUCUCUUUUAUAUUGUCAAACGGCUUCUUUUAUCCUUUGAUACGCAGCGUCGCUUCGUUGUGAUCAAGAUUAUUGUAAUACGGAAUCAUGAUACCGAAUGACCUGAUCAUUUAUAUAUCAUUAAUGAUUGAUACUUAAUCCUCUCCUCGGUUAUUCAGUCGUAGUGCAGCGUUAUUGAACACCGCUUGACAUUUACUUCUAACCUCGGUAGUAUAAUAAUUGAAUAUGUAAUAAAUUGAUACAUGGAAAAAUGCAACAGAUGGUUCCAUUGUGGCAAAUAAACUAGCGAUAUUGAUCAAUUUUCCUUCGCAAGGGACAACGCGUCAACUUUCCACUUGUGAUCGCUUUCUGGUUUCGUUACCUACUCUUACAUUUCACUGUGGUCACAACAAGCUAGACCUUUCUACCUGCCAUCUUGUGUCUCGCCCCAGACAGUACACAUGUUUUAACAUUUGUGGACACGUCAGAAUAAACAGCCUAUAUUUCCAGUCUGCACGGAAGGCAACAAGGUGAAUUGCAAACUAAACUACACAAUAAGUACAUCGGCCAGCAACAACACUCGCGUCAAAAAAGAAAACAGUUGCCGGACAAGCAGUGAUGUUUGC